UACGUAGGGGGCAAGCGUUGUCCGGAAUCAUUGGGCGUAAAGAGCGCGUAGGCGGUCCGGUAAGUCGGUUGUGAAAACUGGGGGCUCAACCCUCAGAGGCCGACCGAUACUGUCGGGCUAGAGUCCGGAAGAGGCGAGUGGAAUUCCCGGUGUAGCGGUGAAAUGCGCAGAUAUCGGGAGGAACACCAAUGGCGAAGGCAGCUCGCUGGGACGGUACUGACGCUGAGACGCGAAAGCGUGGGGAGCAAACAGG
RNAcentral lists this ribosomal RNA (253 nucleotides) under uncultured bacterium. Its description in RNAcentral is "partial 16S ribosomal RNA". It matches the Rfam family "Bacterial small subunit ribosomal RNA", at positions 524 to 776 of the family's 1533-position model. The record is from RNAcentral.